Molecule: long non-coding RNA, 2325 nt
Organism: Cydia splendana
Lineage: Eukaryota; Metazoa; Arthropoda; Insecta; Lepidoptera; Tortricidae
Exons: 3
Source: RefSeq, a predicted model, not a curated record
CAGCGCCGCGCCGUGCAGAGAACGUGCCACUCUUUUUAACCAGGUGAGCCCCAUGUUUCCAACCAACAAGACAAACGAAAGAGACUGCAGGCUACACAAGUACUACUAUUGGAUAUCUAGCAGAACACAAGAAGAGUCUCAAGGCUGCAGGAGGGGCACUUAAACAGCGGACGAUUUAUAAAUAGUUACGAAAAGAAGGUACUUAGUUCCAAAAGCUGCAGAACAAUGUUACGGGCUGUGACUCCAAUCUCAGGCGGUUGGUAAAGAACUUGUGCGGUAGUUUUCUAAUAGAAGGCAACUGAACUUUGGGACUAAAACUAAUUAAAAAAUAUUAUACUUUUCUCAGUGAACAUAAUAAAAAUGACCUUGAUCCAGGCAGCCUACGGACUGGGUCAGUUAGUAACUUCUUACCAAUCGCCUCAGGCCUCUCACUAAAGUCCAAGAAGCAGCGAGCAGGAGGGACCGAAAGUCAAUGAGUAAAUUUUUCACUCGACGACUAUUUAAGGCACAUCACACACUACCUGAAUCAGUACCUAAUAGUCAAAUGGCACCUGUCUUUUUGUAUAAUACCGGUUAUUACAUCUAACCGGGGCCCAGGGCACUCUUUGUAGGAAGGCCGGUCAACGGUUGCUAUACCAUCCUAGUAAGCAUUCUUACAGCAGUUUUCCGUUAUACUUAAUAUCUAAUAAUACGUAACCCUUCGUAUGCCUUUGUUAAACAUUUGCUACUGAUUUAAUAACCUACUGAUAUGAAUGAAAAUUGUAAAUUACAGUCCAAAUUGUGUGGUACGUACUACCACGUACACGGGACAAGGCAUACGAAAUUUUAAGAGGAAAUAGGACAGCCGCUUCAAACAAACGUAGUCCCCAUUUUGCUCUCAGGAUAUUGACAUUAUGGAAAAUUAUUUUUACAUAUUUUAAUUUAUACUUAUUAUUCUUAUUAACUAUUAUUACUUAGCUAUGCCUCUACGUAUGACAUUUUUCUCUGCAGCUGACUGGUGGCAGACCCUCCAACGCGUUCGGUCCCUAUAAGCUAUAGCUCAAUAAAUUCAAAAAAUAAAACGAUGCGGCAUGUCUGUGAUUGAUAUGUACCUACUUGACAUCAAAUUGUGUAAAAAUAUUAUAAAUUAUAAAUUGAAAUAGAUGAUUUGUUAUGAAAGGUGAUUUUGCGCCGGUCGACUUUUCAAAUAGUUAUUGUUAACGAUCUUUUGAUAUUUUGUGAAAGGGUAACAGCCCAAAAUGUAAAAAAAAAAAAAAAAAAGUUCUCCCGUGGCGGGAAUUGAACCCAGGUCACAAGCGAACACUUUGCGUUGGGCCAAGCAUACAUAGAUCUGCUUGCUAGAUUAAGACCAAGAUAACUCUGCAGAGAUUUUCAUAGUAGUCGAUUAACAAAAUAUCUUUAAUAAUGUUAGUUAUAAAUUGAAAUAUAUGUCCAUCUAUCCAGAGAUAAAUCUAUCCUGUCAUCCACUUUUAUUCUAUAAAAAUGAACUACAUUCAUUUAACGUUUUUAGCAAAUCAAGAUAAAACAAUUUAAAACAUUGUUAACGAUCUUCUGAUAUUUUGUGAAACGGAAAAGUAACGGAAAAAAUAAAAAUAAUAAUAAACAAAAAGUUCACCCUAGGUGGGAUUCGAACCCGGGGUCACAAUGCGUGCACACUUUAUGCAACCAUGUUCUAAACCUUAUUACAAAAAGCAUAAGGUCCACCGAUGGAUAGUUAAGAGUAUUGCUGUUUGUACCUAAGCCGGUUUUCUGAAAGGAGAAACUCAGCGCAAAAAGUAAAAAAAAAAAACGAAAAAGUUGACCGAUGGCGGGAAUAGAACCCAAGUCACAAGCGAACACUUUGUGCUAAGUCAAACAUACCUAAGCUGCUAGCUAGAUUCAGACCAGACAUGCAAGUGUUAUAUUUUAAAUGUCAAACAGCUAUGAAAUUAUGACUUUAAAAUAACACUUUGCAAGUCUUUGCUUUGAAAAACACUGCAGCGUUACCUUGGUCUUACUCUGCCACCCUAGUUAGUAAGCAUGCUAAAAGCAGUUUUCCAGAAUUAUUAGUCGAUUAAUGUCUACAAGGAAAAAUGACAAAUUAUAAUAAUGUAAAAAAAAACCGCCCAAGUGCAUGUCAGUAUCGCGCACGAAGGGUUCCGUUACUCAAAAACCCUAAAAACGGGAAAAAAUCACGUUUGUUGUAUGGGAGCCCCAUUUAAAUAUUUAUUAUAAUCUGUUUUUAGUAUUUGUUGUUAUAGCGGCAACAGAAAUACAUCAUAUGUGAACAUUUCAACUGCCUAGCUAUCACGGUUCAUGAGGUACAGCCUGGUGACAGACAGACGA